GGCAAGUGAAGCGGCAACGCUCAAUUUGAAAUCUGGCUCCCUUGGGGGUCCGAAUUGUAAUUUGCAGAGGAUGCCUCGGGUGCGGGUUCCUUCCGAGUUCCCUGGAACGGGACGCCCUAGAGGGUGAGAGCCCCGUCUGGUCGGAAACCCAGCCCAUGUGAGGCUCCCUCGACGAGUCGAGUAGUUUGGGAAUGCUGCUCUAAGGGGAGGUAUACUCCUUCCAAGGCUAAAUACCGGCUAGAGACCGAUAGCGCACAAGUAGAGUGAUCGAAAGAUGAAAAGCACUUUGAAAAGAGAGUCAAAUAGCACGUGAAAUUGCUGAAAGGGAAGCGCUUAUUACCAGACUUGGGUUCGGCGGUUCAACCGGCGCCACGCGCCGGGGCACUCCGCCGGCCCAGGCCAGCAUCAGCUCUCCGUCGGGGGCAAAGGCGUCGGGAAUGUAGCUCCCCCUCGGGGGAGUGUUAUAGCCCGGCGUGUCAUACCCUUCGGGGGGCUGAGGUCCGCGCUCCGCAAGGAUGCUGGCGUAAUGGUAAUCAGUGACCCGUCUUGAAACACGGACCAAGGAGUCAACCUUAUGUGCGAGUGCCCGGGCGUAAAACCCCAGCGCGUAAUGAAAGUGAACGUAGGUGAGAGCUUCGGCGCAUCACCGACCGAUCCUGAUGUCCUCGGACGGAUUUGAGUGAGAGCAUAUAGGGUUGGACCCGAAAGAAGAUGAACUAUGCGUGUGUAGGGUGAAGCCAGAGGAAACUCUGGUGGAGGCUCGCAGCGGUUCUGACGUGCAAAUCGAUCGUCAAACAUGCGCAUGGGGGCGAAAGACUAAUCGAAUCUUCUGGUAGCUGGUUUCCGCCGAAGUU
This 854-nucleotide ribosomal RNA is filed under the name Nigrocephalum collariferum. RNAcentral describes it as "LSU rRNA". It matches the Rfam family "Eukaryotic large subunit ribosomal RNA", at positions 88 to 968 of the family's 3401-position model. Lineage: Eukaryota; Fungi; Ascomycota; Sordariomycetes; Glomerellales; Plectosphaerellaceae. The record is from RNAcentral.